GAAAAUCACAACAAAUUGGAAUUGUAAUUUACAAGUAAAAUUAUUGAUUGUAUUGUUUCAAGGAGAGUACGACGACGAGUGCACCCAGCGACACAGGCGGACCUCUAAUCGGGUCCUUCGCAUUGACUGAACUGAAAAAAAAAGAAGUACUGGAGAGAGUUAAAAGAAAUGAAUAAAAAAAAUAAAAAACAAAUAUAAAAAUGAUUGUAAUAAUGUUUUAUUUUCCGAUAACAUAUAUUUGGUAGUUAAUCUUCCAUGCGUGAUGCAGUGUUGGUUAUGGCAGCUCUAGCGAGUUAGUAGUUGUUUAAUUAUUUGAUUCUGAAACAAGAAAACAUAUUAUGUUUAAAGUCUAAUAAAUUCAAAGUCAUAGGCACUUUGUACAAAGGAUGGCAUAAAAUUCAUAAGUUUUCUAAUGGUUAUAUGGGUGCAGUCAAUGCACCCACAUACAUUUGCCUGGAAUUACAUAUUUAUGAAAAAUGAGAAAUUAUUAAUGGCUUGUUUAACCUAAGUAAAUAAAGUGUUUAAAUUUAUUUUAAAUUAAAGGCUAAUGCUAUGUGGAUGAUA
This 564-nucleotide long non-coding RNA is filed under the name Manduca sexta (tobacco hornworm). RNAcentral's name for it is "uncharacterized LOC119190859". The record is from RNAcentral. Lineage: Eukaryota; Metazoa; Arthropoda; Insecta; Lepidoptera; Sphingidae.